Molecule: long non-coding RNA, 391 nt
Filed under: Homo sapiens (human)
Lineage: Eukaryota; Metazoa; Chordata; Mammalia; Primates; Hominidae
Description: MIR3681 host gene, transcript variant 3 (MIR3681HG)
Source: RNAcentral
CCGGGACCCCUCACUCAGUGCAGAGGGAAAUUGACACAGCCAUGAUGAGGCCUGGCUCACAAGAGCCAUAGUUACUGUAGGAGUUUCUGUGGCUAAAUAUGCUUAGCUAUUGAGGCAAGGACAUGUGCUGGAUGUGUAUGCAGUCUUUGAAGCUGGAGAGGCCUGUGUUGGAAACUGUGCUCUGUCCCAUGCCAGUUCCCUGACCUUGGCUUCGGAAGUCCCAUUUAACAACUGCUCCCAGUACAGCAUGAGAAGUGACCCAGAGCACAGCGAUCGCACGCGCAGCGUGCUCUACAGAAGGUGCAUCCACAGAUGGCGGGCCAGCCGGCUCCCAAUAUAGUUUUUAACAUAAAUGAUGAAAAUAAAAACCCUGAAGAAAAAAAAAAAAAAA